UACGGAGGGUGCGAGCGUUAUUCGGAAUUACUGGGCGUAAAGCGCGUGCAGGCGGGAGAGCAAGUCUGAUGUGAAAGCCCGGGGCUUAACCUCGGAAGUGCAUUGGAAACUGUUUUUCUUGAGUACUGGAGAGGAAGGGGGAAUUCCCGGUGUAGAGGUGAAAUUCGUAGAGAUCGGGAGGAAUACCAGUGGCGAAGGCGCCCUUCUGGACGGUAACUGACGCUGAGACGCGAAAGCGUGGGGAGCAAAC
Molecule: ribosomal RNA, 250 nt
Filed under: uncultured bacterium
Lineage: Bacteria
Description: partial 16S ribosomal RNA
Rfam family: Bacterial small subunit ribosomal RNA
Source: RNAcentral